Long non-coding RNA from Zingiber officinale, 1795 nucleotides. RefSeq lists it as uncharacterized. The record is from RefSeq and is a predicted model, not a curated record. Lineage: Eukaryota; Viridiplantae; Streptophyta; Magnoliopsida; Zingiberales; Zingiberaceae. The transcript has 2 exons.
GUCGUCGCCGACAACGAGCGCUGCCCGCCCGCCUGCCUGCCUGCCUGCCUGUGGCGGCCGAACAAAACGAAAUUUGCCUAAAGAGGUUUCUUUUCAUCCUUUGUCUGUUUCGAUUAGGUCCUCUCACUCAAGAUAAAGAUUAAAUCUUGCCGUAGUUUUUGUUUCGCGGGUAUAAAUUUUUUUGCAUGGAUUGUCUUUGGGCCGGAAAGGCGGAAAGCUCUGAUUCUUCAAGUGCGCUUCUUGCAGUUCUUGCAAGAUGAACAAGGGUCCAAAGCUUGAUAUUGCAAUGGAUCGAGCUCCUGGACAUGGAGCAACUUCAUGAAUGUGAUCCUGAUGACAGAUGGUACUCGCUAGUGCUUUAAUAACUUUGUAAACAAGGAUGUUCUGUUCUGCUCACUGCUCAGACAAUAUAAUUCGUGGAGAAAAUGAGAAAUGCUCGGUUUGUGCCAAGUGCAUCGGUAUAUAGCUAUAAGCCAUGUGAUCAGUAUACCCGUCAGCGAAUGCGUAGCAGAUGGUGUGCAUAUUAUUUGCUAACGCUGAUGAGAAUGGAGGGCAGAAAUCAUGAAGUCAUCAUAGUAAGAUUAUCGCUGGUUUCGUUUUGGUAAAUAAUUUUUAUGAAGCAGAUGAAUUGUUUGAUGAAAUUCUUCAGAGGGGUCCCCCCGGGUCCUGUUACUUUGCUACUUAUAAGACCUAUACAAAUGGCCUCCAUAAUAAGCAAGUGUAUCUUUAUCAAACUCGUCAAAUGCUAUUCUGCAUGAAGGAGCUGGUUCCAGCCUUGAUUUAUAGAACUUCAACACUUUGAUGGGAUGAUUACGAAGCAAUGGAACUCAUGCAGGAGGUUUGCAGGAAGAGCCUUCAAGUGAAUUCUCAUAUGAAAUCUAGGGUUAUUCUCAAGAAGGUGGAGGAAGUACAACAUCUAAAAAAAAGAUAGCACAGUCCACGAAACUCCCGCUAAUGCAGGAAAGGGUUAUUGUACACAGCCUUAACCUACUUUGCAAGAGAUUGUUUCCGAGACUCAAACCCCCCGUGACCUCUAGGUCACACAGUAAUAACUUUACAGGUGGAGAAAGUUCAAUAACUAUUGACAAAACAUGGCAAACAAGGGCCUUUGACAUGGUAUUUUUCCAACGUUGUUUUGUCAAGACUUCUCUACUUUGAGGCACAACUGAAAUGCAUUAGGAGUUGUUCAGCUUCCAACGUACUAAAUCUUGUACGCUUUUGCUGGUUGGGCUCUAAGUGUCUGUCAUGAACCCUUGGUUGCCUUGACAUCAUUUUAGAACCUUCACUCAAAUUGUAUGCCAUUUAAAGUUUACUGAAUGUGAAGCUGAAGAUGGAGUCAGUAUAUGCAAAAAAAUAAUUUUCACCGCCAACUGCCACAAACCUGCAGAUGGAAGUGAUGAGAAUUUUUGCUUUGAAUAGCUGGAUUGAAAGUGUCACCCUCAAGGUCUGGUUUGCUAGGUGAAGUUGAUGAAUGAACAGUGGCGUGUUUAAUUUUUUUAGUGAAACAGAGCGAGGAGGAGUGGAUUUGGUGUCGAGGAAGAUGAAAGGGACCAGACAGCUAAAUGCUCAGGCAAAGUCAUGAUUGUUGUUUUCAGAUGAAAAAAAGAAGGGAAAUUAUGUUGAGAAAUUGUAUAAUGAAACUGACAUCGAAUGCUGGAAUUGGAUACUAGUUAUGAACUGGUGGUGUUAUCAUUUGGCCAAUGUGCCACCUUAAAGUCUUGUGAUAAACAUUGUUGUGCAUUUAUUUCCUUUUAAACCCAACACUAGUUGGAUUUUAUUUAUUUCAUUGUUUGCU